RNAcentral lists this unclassified non-coding RNA (505 nucleotides) under Hevea brasiliensis (rubber tree). Lineage: Eukaryota; Viridiplantae; Streptophyta; Magnoliopsida; Malpighiales; Euphorbiaceae. The record is from RNAcentral.
GGACAUCAUCAAUUCAGCAAACCUUGUGGUAUCAGCACCACGAGCACGCGUCUUCUUAAAAUUCAUCCCGUGAUCACGGAGCAACUCAAUGGAUUCCGGUGCAUGAUCAUCAUGCAACACAUCAAAAUCACGGAAGUUGAACUCCCAGAUGAAACCAUAACCACAGCCAAAGUCCGGCAGGUUACCGUACACAUCAGUCAGAGUGAUACCCACCUGAAUCAGCUUAAGAGCAUCAACAUUCGAUUUCAGAUUGUUGUAGAGCUCAAUUGGGUUCUUAGCACGUAUAUCCGACCGAUAUAUCAGACCAGGGAACUCUGUAUCCAUUGAAACAAAAGGAAAACGGUCGACCAAGCCACGGAUCAACGAAAACUCAGACUCCAGAUUGUUCGCCCAAACCGAACGGACGAAAACAGGUUUUUUCCCGGCGGCGAACGGUGGAGGUGGUGGGGUGACAAUGCCGGAGAAAGCCAUGAUCGAGAUGAUCAAAAAGCUAAGUGAAUUGGGG